GUCAGAACACCUGCCUGCCCUUCCGGCUCCCAUCAUUGGUUUGCUAGGUCCUGAAAGCCUUCCUUCCCCUCUCUGGGCCUCAGUUUCUCCCCUUGGCAGCAUGCAGAUUGGGAUUUUUCUUUUCUUUUAAAUUUCCAGGAUCACCCACCACCAUGUGUGCUUACGUGGAAAAGGAGAGGGCCAAGAGAAGACAGUGGUCCACCUGAUGCUAAGCCAGCCCUAUAUUUCCCAGUGAUGCUCAAGAACAAGGCAUCGCCCUUUCUCCCUACUUCACACUGGCCAAGAAGCCCACAUUGAUGGAGAGGAAUCCUUCAAGCUCAUCUUAACUUCCAUACAUUUUAGUGUACGUCCUCAGCAAAGAGGAAGAGAGACCUAACUGCCCCUCAUUUGACUCAGCCAGCGGCAGCUUGGGAGGAAUGAAGGAUGAAUUGGGAAGCCACGUUUCCUUAGGUCAGCUCAGAACUGCUUGACUCUCAAACUGUUAUCUGGCUGGGAUGGUUUUUUCAAUGUGAUCUCAAACUCGGACCAACAUAACAUAAAGCCCUGAAGAUCAGCCGUUUUUUUUUUUUUUUUUUUUUUGUGUUGGAGCAGACCACUGCUUCUGCUGAAACACUUGAAGUAACUGUGCUGCAAAAUGUUAUCUUUCUAAGGAAUUUUUGAGAAUAAUUUUGAUAACAUACUGUCAAGCCUAAGUGGUUUGGCCUAAAUACUUCUCCCUCACCAGCUGACUCUUGGCUGGGCUUGCUCAGAUCUAUUUACUUGGUUUAAAGCUCAGGGAGUUCUUAGGAGAAUUAUCAUUACCUGUUGACUAAGUGGGCUGGACACAGCUGGAGAGCUGAUAAUAGCUAGCAAGUAUUUUCUGCUCAGUGUUAAUGGAGUUAUACUUGAUCUGAACUCCAGAGUUUUGGAGUCAUUAGGGAGGCUGUGUCUGUGGAUCUCUGGAAAGAAGACGGGGUGCUGAAUAAGGGGGAGCAUAUUCCAGAAUAAAAACCUUAAAAGUUUUGCUCUUAUCA
This 1013-nucleotide long non-coding RNA is filed under the name Vulpes vulpes (red fox). RNAcentral describes it as "lncRNA (ENSVVUG00000007588.1)". The record is from RNAcentral. Lineage: Eukaryota; Metazoa; Chordata; Mammalia; Carnivora; Canidae.